Molecule: ribosomal RNA, 331 nt
Filed under: Escherichia coli
Lineage: Bacteria; Pseudomonadati; Pseudomonadota; Gammaproteobacteria; Enterobacterales; Enterobacteriaceae
Description: partial 23S ribosomal RNA
Rfam family: Bacterial large subunit ribosomal RNA
Source: RNAcentral
GGUUAAGCGACUAAGCGUACACGGUGGAUGCCCUGGCAGUCAGAGGCGAUGAAGGACGUGCUAAUCUGCGAUAAGCGUCGGUAAGGUGAUAUGAACCGUUAUAACCGGCGAUUUCCGAAUGGGGAAACCCAGUGUGAUUCGUCACACUAUCAUUAACUGAAUCCAUAGGUUAAUGAGGCGAACCGGGGGAACUGAAACAUCUAAGUACCCCGAGGAAAAGAAAUCAACCGAGAUUCCCCCAGUAGCGGCGAGCGAACGGGGAGCAGCCCAGAGCCUGAAUCAGUGUGUGUGUUAGUGGAAGCGUCUGGAAAGGCGCGCGAUACAGGGUGAC